RNAcentral lists this transfer RNA (297 nucleotides) under Gloeobacter violaceus PCC 7421. Its description in RNAcentral is "partial 16S-23S ribosomal RNA intergenic spacer". The stretch from base 69 to 141 matches the Rfam family "tRNA". The record is from RNAcentral. Lineage: Bacteria; Bacillati; Cyanobacteriota; Cyanophyceae; Gloeobacterales; Gloeobacteraceae.
GUUAGAGCGCACCCCUGAUAAGGGUGAGGUCCCUGGUUCGAGUCCAGGAUGGCCCACAUCCAAAUUCUGGGGGCAUAGCUCAGCUGGUAGAGCGCCUGCUUUGCACGCAGGAGGUCAGCGGUUCGAACCCGCUUGCCUCCACCACCCGAGCCGAUGUCUAACUCUUGCGUCUCAAAAUGGCAUUGUGCUACGUUGAGACUCUGCGAGAAAUCAGCACCUUGAAAACUGCAUAGUGACGUAACAACGAGUAGACCACCAAUGGGUCGACUACGAAUGCAACGUAAUCGACCAAGUGUA